This 1372-nucleotide ribosomal RNA is filed under the name uncultured bacterium. Its description in RNAcentral is "bacterial SSU rRNA". It matches the Rfam family "Bacterial small subunit ribosomal RNA", at positions 28 to 1381 of the family's 1533-position model. The record is from RNAcentral.
GAUGAACGCUGGCGGCGUGCCUAAUACAUGCAAGUCGAGCGAACAGAUAAGGAGCUUGCUCCUUUGAAGUUAGCGGCGGACGGGUGAGUAACACGUGGGUAACCUACCUAUAAGACUGGGAUAACUUCGGGAAACCGGAGCUAAUACCGGAUAACAUUUAGAACCGCAUGGCUCUAAAGUGAAAGAUGGUUUUGCUAUCACUUAUAGAUGGACCCGCGCCGUAUUAGCUAGUUGGUAAGGUAACGGCUUACCAAGGCGAUGAUACGUAGCCGACCUGAGAGGGUGAUCGGCCACACUGGAACUGAGACACGGUCCAGACUCCUACGGGAGGCAGCAGUAGGGAAUCUUCCGCAAUGGGCGAAAGCCUGACGGAGCAACGCCGCGUGAGUGAUGAAGGGUUUCGGCUCGUAAAACUCUGUUAUUAGGGAAGAACAAAUGUGUAAGUAACUGUGCACAUCUUGACGGUACCUAAUCAGAAAGCCACGGCUAACUACGUGCCAGCAGCCGCGGUAAUACGUAGGUGGCAAGCGUUAUCCGGAAUUAUUGGGCGUAAAGCGCGCGUAGGCGGUUUCUUAAGUCUGAUGUGAAAGCCCACGGCUCAACCGUGGAGGGUCAUUGGAAACUGGGAAACUUGAGUGCAGAAGAGGAAAGUGGAAUUCCAUGUGUAGCGGUGAAAUGCGCAGAGAUAUGGAGGAACACCAGUGGCGAAGGCGACUUUCUGGUCUGUAACUGACGCUGAUGUGCGAAAGCGUGGGGAUCAAACAGGAUUAGAUACCCUGGUAGUCCACGCCGUAAACGAUGAGUGCUAAGUGUUAGGGGGUUUCCGCCCCUUAGUGCUGCAGCUAACGCAUUAAGCACUCCGCCUGGGGAGUACGACCGCAAGGUUGAAACUCAAAGGAAUUGACGGGGACCCGCACAAGCGGUGGAGCAUGUGGUUUAAUUCGAAGCAACGCGAAGAACCUUACCAAAUCUUGACAUCCUUUGAAAACUCUAGAGAUAGAGCCUUCCCCUUCGGGGGACAAAGUGACAGGUGGUGCAUGGUUGUCGUCAGCUCGUGUCGUGAGAUGUUGGGUUAAGUCCCGCAACGAGCGCAACCCUUAAGCUUAGUUGCCAUCAUUAAGUUGGGCACUCUAGGUUGACUGCCGGUGACAAACCGGAGGAAGGUGGGGAUGACGUCAAAUCAUCAUGCCCCUUAUGAUUUGGGCUACACACGUGCUACAAUGGACAAUACAAAGGGCAGCUAAACCGCGAGGUCAUGCAAAUCCCAUAAAGUUGUUCUCAGUUCGGAUUGUAGUCUGCAACUCGACUACAUGAAGCUGGAAUCGCUAGUAAUCGUAGAUCAGCAUGCUACGGUGAAUACGUUCCCGGGUCU